CCCAUCCCGCAGUGCUUCCAAUAAUACAAAAUGACCCCUGAAAAACAGAUGCAAGUAUUUGGGUGGGAGGGAGAAGUCCACUGCUGGCAAGCUCUUUAGGCAAUAUAUGACCGUAAGAUGAAGUCACAAACAUUGCGACUGGAGUCAACUCCCACUCAUCGGUCAGCACAGUCAGUGCUUUAUGUGAAGAAGUACCAGCUGGUGCCACGGUCUCAUAGUCCUCCAUACUUAUUUGUAUGCAUCAGAAACUGGGAAAUGGACAUGAUAUUUAAGCGUAAAUCCAUAACUACCAUCUUUGGCUGUUUAUUUGCAUUAUCCUUUCACAAAAUUCUGCUUUGCUGAGAAAAUUUGUACCAUCCCCCCAGAGCCUGUAGCAAUUAAAGAGAAUAACACCGCUGACACAGUCGUUGUCCAUAUUAACACAACAACAAAGGAUGUAACGCUGAAUCUCACAGAGAAUCCUGGGAAUGCCUUCAGUCUGAGAGGUUCAGAACUGAUAGCAAAGAAAGGCCUGGACUUUGAAACACUUUCAGGUCCUGAAGAACUAACUGUCCAGAUCCGAUGUAAUAAAACUGGCUACAGAAGUAUCACUCUGACUGUGAUUGUUCGUGUUGUGAAUAUCAAUGACAACCCUCCAUCAUUUGACAAGAGCGAAUAUACACUUAACAUAAAUGAGCUUACACCAGUUAAUAGCAGCAUUGCCCUGAUUGAAGCAAUAGAUGAUGAUUCUGAGGUUCUGUAUUAUUCUAUGGAACCAACUGUGAAUAGGUACUUCAGACUCGAGACCAUGUACAUACCAAGUAUCCUUGUGAACAAGAUUUUAGAUUACGAUGUCAUCCAACAGGUGAAACUGAUCUUGUAU
This is a long non-coding RNA of Cyprinus carpio (common carp), 862 nucleotides long. RefSeq lists it as uncharacterized. The transcript has 6 exons. The record is from RefSeq and is a predicted model, not a curated record. Lineage: Eukaryota; Metazoa; Chordata; Actinopteri; Cypriniformes; Cyprinidae.